Molecule: long non-coding RNA, 365 nt
Filed under: Zostera marina
Lineage: Eukaryota; Viridiplantae; Streptophyta; Magnoliopsida; Alismatales; Zosteraceae
Description: long non-coding RNA (ZMAR_LNC003757)
Source: RNAcentral
UUGGACAAGUGCCGGAAUACCGGCAACUCCCAGCAUCCAUCGCCAAGUUCCCGGCACCUGAGAAAAAGGAUCAAAUAAGAUAAAAUACCGACAAGGACAGUCGGACAGAACAAUUUUUACGUACCCUAGUGAAUCCGAGAUUGACGAGGUAUGCCAGGAACUGUCCUCCGGUUAUGAGAAGUCCAUUGGUGCUAACAAGAGCGCCUCUGAUUUUUGCAGGAGAAGCCUCGGAGAUGUAAAGAGGAGAUGUCAUAGAAGCCAUUCCAACACCGAAUCCGACAAAAAUUCUACCCAGGAUAAUAACCCCAGGGGAAGGUGCAACCGCCAUGACUAUAGCUCCAAUGAAGAACAACACAUCAGCUAAC